GAGUUUGAUCAUGGCUCAGAUUGAACGCUGGCGGCAGGCCUAACACAUGCAAGUCGAACGGUAACAGGAAACAGCUUGCUGUUUCGCUGACGAGUGGCGGACGGGUGAGUAAUGUCUGGGAAACUGCCUGAUGGAGGGGGAUAACUACUGGAAACGGUAGCUAAUACCGCAUAACGUCGCAAGACCAAAGAGGGGGACCCUCGGGCCUCUUGCCAUCGGAUGUGCCCAGAUGGGAUUAGCUUGUUGGUGGGGUAACGGCUCACCAAGGCGACGAUCCCUAGCUGGUCUGAGAGGAUGACCAGCCACACUGGAACUGAGACACGGUCCAGACUCCUACGGGAGGCAGCAGUGGGGAAUAUUGCACAAUGGGCGCAAGCCUGAUGCAGCCAUGCCGCGUGUAUGAAGAAGGCCUUCGGGUUGUAAAGUACUUUCAGCGGGGAGGAAGGGAGUAAAGUUAAUACCUUUGCUCAUUGACGUUACCCGCAGAAGAAGCACCGGCUAACUCCGUGCCAGCAGCCGCGGUAAUACGGAGGGUGCAAGCGUUAAUCGGAAUUACUGGGCGUAAAGCGCACGCAGGCGGUUUGUUAAGUCAGACGUGAAAUCCCCGGGCUCAACCUGGGAACUGCAUCUGAUACUGGCAAGCUUGAGUCUCGUAGAGGGGGGUAGAAUUCCAGGUGUAGCGGUGAAAUGCGUAGAGAUCUGGAGGAAUACCGGUGGCGAAGGCGGCCCCCUGGACGAAGACUGACGCUCAGGUGCGAAAGCGUGGGGAGCAAACAGGAUUAGAUACCCUGGUAGUCCACGCCGUAAACGAUGUCGACUUGGAGGUUGUGCCCUUGAGGCGUGGCUUCCGGAGCUAACGCGUUAAGUCGACCGCCUGGGGAGUACGGCCGCAAGGUUAAAACUCAAAUGAAUUGACGGGGGCCCGCACAAGCGUGGAGCAUGUGGUUUAAUUCGAUGCAACGCGAAGAACCUUACCUGGUCUUGACAUCCACGGAAGUUUUCAGAGAUGAGAAUGUGCCUUCGGGAACCGUGAGACAGGUGCUGCAUGGCUGUCGUCAGCUCGUGUUGUGAAAUGUUGGGUUAAGUCCCGCAACGAGCGCAACCCUUAUCCUUUGUUGCCAGCGGUCCGGCCGGGAACUCAAAGGAGACUGCCAGUGAUAAACUGGAGGAAGGUGGGGAUGACGUCAAGUCAUCAUGGCCCUUACGACCAGGGCUACACACGUGCUACAAUGGCGCAUACAAAGAGAAGCGACCUCGCGAGAGCAAGCGGACCUCAUAAAGUGCGUCGUAGUCCGGAUUGGAGUCUGCAACUCGACUCCAUGAAGUCGGAAUCGCUAGUAAUCGUGGAUCAGAAUGCCACGGUGAAUACGUUCCCGGGCCUUGUACACACCGCCCGUCACACCAUGGGAGUGGGUUGCAAAAGAAGUAGGUAGCUUAACCUUCGGGAGGGCGCUUACCACUUUGUGAUUCAUGACUGGGGUGAAGUCGAAACAAGGUA
RNAcentral lists this ribosomal RNA (1498 nucleotides) under metagenome. Its description in RNAcentral is "bacterial SSU rRNA". It matches the Rfam family "Bacterial small subunit ribosomal RNA". The record is from RNAcentral.